GGCAAUGUACAAUAAAUAAAAUGAAAAUGACUGCUCUGCACUGGCAUAAAACUUAGGUAUCUAUGGACCCCUUGUAAAAACAUCAUGGCAGCUGUAUAUAUAGGAUGUACAUGGCAGCAUUUCACAUCAAUGAAAACGACCUAAAUACCCUAGAAGUGACCAAAACUGGAGAACCCACCAGGGCAAUCAGCUACCCCUAAGCCUAAACCAAGAGGCCAAGCCAGUGAACAAGAAACCAACACAUGAGUUUGUGGAAUUCCUACUCAGGGCCAUUCUCGAGAGAAGAAACAUAUUUCCUUCCUACAGCCUUGCAAGACACAACAUCCU
Haliotis rubra (blacklip abalone) is the source of this 327-nucleotide long non-coding RNA. RefSeq lists it as uncharacterized. The record is from RefSeq and is a predicted model, not a curated record. The transcript is spliced from 3 exons. Lineage: Eukaryota; Metazoa; Mollusca; Gastropoda; Lepetellida; Haliotidae.